AGAGGUUACUGCUAUCGGAGUUCGAUUAAGCCAUGCGAGUCGAGAGGGUUCGGCCCUCGGCAGACUGCUCAGUAACACGUGGAUAGCCUACCCUCGGGUCGGGGAUAACCCCGGGAAACUGGGGAUAAUACCCGAUUCGUUACCUGUGCUGGAAUGCUUGGUAGCAUAAAGCUCCGGCGCCCGAGGAUGGGUCUGCGGCGGAUUAGGUUGUCGCCGGUGUAAUGUACCGACGAGCCGAUAAUCCGUACGGGUUGUGAGAGCAAGAGCCCGGAGAUGGAUUCUGAGACACGAAUCCAGGCCCUACGGGGCGCAGCAGGCGCGGAAACUUUACAAUGCAGGAAACUGCGAUAAGGGAACUCCGAGUGUCUGGGACAUUCUCAGACUGUUCGGGUACCUAAAUAGUAUUCGAUAGU
RNAcentral lists this ribosomal RNA (413 nucleotides) under uncultured euryarchaeote. Its description in RNAcentral is "bacterial SSU rRNA". It matches the Rfam family "Archaeal small subunit ribosomal RNA", at positions 19 to 437 of the family's 1478-position model. The record is from RNAcentral. Lineage: Archaea; Methanobacteriati; Methanobacteriota.